AAAUUAGAUGAGAAAAAAAUGAUUCAAGUGAGAUGGGAAGAACAUUGUGACCAACAUAUGGUCAUGGCAAGAUGGGGAGAUAGGAGAUGGGGUAAACUGGUUUUUAUCGGUACUGAAGAUUAAUAGGUUCGUCUUAAAAAUACUACCUGUUAGUAGGAUCAUAGUUUCGGAAAUCAAUUAAUACGAAAUUUGUCUAAAGA
Molecule: non-coding RNA, 200 nt
Organism: Caenorhabditis elegans
Lineage: Eukaryota; Metazoa; Nematoda; Chromadorea; Rhabditida; Rhabditidae
Source: Ensembl